RNAcentral lists this ribosomal RNA (546 nucleotides) under uncultured archaeon. Its description in RNAcentral is "bacterial SSU rRNA". It matches the Rfam family "Archaeal small subunit ribosomal RNA", at positions 102 to 651 of the family's 1478-position model. The record is from RNAcentral.
AGUCAACAUGCCCAAAGGACGUGGAUAACCUCGGGAAACUGAGGAUAAACCGCGAUAGGCCAAGGUUUCUGGAAUGAGCCCUGGCCGAAAUCUAUAUGGCCUUUGGAUUGGACUGCGGCCGAUCAGGCUGUUGGUGAGGUAAUGGCCCACCAAACCUGUAACCGGUACGGGCUUUGAGAGAAGGAGCCCGGAGAUGGGCACUGAGACAAGGGCCCAGGCCCUAUGGGGCGCAGCAGGCGCGAAACCUCUGCAAUAGGCGAAAGCCUGACAGGGUUACUCUGAGUGAUGCCCGCUAAGGGUAUCUUUUGGCACCUCUAAAAAUGGUGCAGAAUAAGGGGUGGGCAAGUCUGGUGUCAGCCGCCGCGGUAAUACCAGCACCCCGAGUUGUCGGGACGAUUAUUGGGCCUAAAGCAUCCGUAGCCUGUUCUGCAAGUCCUCCGUUAAAUCCACCUGCUNCACGGAUGGGCUGCGGAGGAUACCGCAGAGCUAGGAGGCGGGAGAGGCAAACGGUACUCAGUGGGUAGGGGUAAAAUCCAUUGAUCUACU